RNAcentral lists this long non-coding RNA (337 nucleotides) under Sorghum bicolor (sorghum). RNAcentral describes it as "long non-coding RNA (SBIC_LNC011629)". Lineage: Eukaryota; Viridiplantae; Streptophyta; Magnoliopsida; Poales; Poaceae. The record is from RNAcentral.
UAUAAGCAAAUGUCUAGAAAUAACUCACAUUACGAUCUGGACACUUGUAGAAUAUACGACCCUUGUUUACUCCCUCUUUCGACACUUUGUACUCCAUCAAAAUCUUCUGCCCACACUUGCCACAAGUAAUAAUAGGGAGUUCCGGACGGUAUCGCUUUUGAACCCGUUGAGAGACCGAAGACCCAGUCACGGUUGCCAUCUACUAUCCAUACUCAUUUUUUAAACAAUUAUAAAUUCCACAUUUACUAGUAAACAUGUAUGAUACAAUGGAUAUUAUAUGUAGUAAUAAAAAUAAAUCAAGUGAUAUUAACAAACCAAUUAAUUUGAACUAUCCCAC